GCAUCUCCUAAAGUGCAUUUCCCAUAUGUUAUCCACUUCAUGGGACUGUAUGUCUUUUUUCACAUGUGCCUCAUUUUAAAUAUUCAGUACUAUGUAUUUUUUAUUUAUAGCAAAAUUUUUCAGCAUCUGAGAACGUAGGUAAAUACUGUUUGCCUCAUUUUGUAGCUAAGGCAGCUAGGGAAUAGAGAAGUCAAAGGUUUGUGAUAUGAUAUAUUGGCAUUUAAGCAAAUGACUAGCAGUCUCCUCAAAACUGAAAGCAUGACCUUUUGUGAAAUGGCAUUCUUUUAUUGAACAAAUGUGUUUUUAAUGUAUUCUGUUAUAGCUGCUUGCUGUUGUGAUUAUACAAAAUUGAACUGCCUUUUGCAACAGUGAAAACUGCAGUAGGAACAAAGGGACUGACCUGGUUUUGACUCCUUAUUCUCUUCUACAAAUCUGCAAAUGCAUUUGUUGCUGCCUGUGUAAAUCAGUUGCUGCAAAUAUUAAAUCUCAACUUCUGUGGUUUUGCUACAGGGCAGCCUUAGAAGAAUUUAGUUAAGCCAAGUAAAUCCCUACUCAUUUAGCUGCAAUUUAACUCAAAUGACAAACCAGCAGUGGCUGAGAACAGGUUAUGUGGGUUCCUUGUGAAACUCCUUCAUGAGAGAGACAACAUCCUCUUUCCCUCAGCUGAAGGCAGAGAAAACAGCAGGUCAGAUUUCUGCUUGUACCAAAGCCCCAGUUCUUGGUAGUCUUGCAGCAAGCACAGUGUCAGCAAUUGUAAUUCCUGACAUUUCUAACUUGGAGGAGAGGACUGAGAAGGGUAGAUGACAUCUGCAUACUUUAGACAAAAAUGGAAGGUCCUGAACAGCAAACCUCGAGGCUUUGAAUGAGUGUGCAGCUGAGAGUGUGGAGAUAGGAAAACUAACUUAUUUGGACAACAGCACUGUGUACAGUGAGACAUGACAGCUGUGAGCUGGAGCUGCCACCUUCAUGUCUGAAGGUGUCCUUGUCCUGAGCUAUUUUGCCACUGCUCUCUUGAGUAGAUAUAGAUGAGCCCAGAAGAAUACCCCCUUGACCUUAUCACUAGCCUUGCUUACAUCUGUGGAGAGAAAAGCUGCUGAGAAAGUACAUGAACCUCUUCAUUACAAAGAACUGUGAGAUUAAUUAUUGAGAAAUUAAUUAUUCCUUUUUGUCUUAAAGGAAA
This is a non-coding RNA of Cyanistes caeruleus (blue tit), 1180 nucleotides long. NCBI's taxonomy places the organism in Eukaryota, Metazoa, Chordata, Aves, Passeriformes, Paridae. The record is from RefSeq and is a predicted model, not a curated record.